CCCGCCGUAGCUCAGCGGUUAGAGCGCCCGGCUGUAGACCGGGUGGUCCAGGGUUCAAGUCCCUGCGGCGGGA
RNAcentral lists this transfer RNA (73 nucleotides) under Acidianus manzaensis. Its description in RNAcentral is "tRNA-Tyr". It matches the Rfam family "tRNA". Rfam says of the family: Transfer RNA (tRNA) molecules are approximately 80 nucleotides in length. Lineage: Archaea; Thermoproteati; Thermoproteota; Thermoprotei; Sulfolobales; Sulfolobaceae. RNAcentral also lists the same sequence under 1 other name. The record is from RNAcentral.